This 6855-nucleotide long non-coding RNA is filed under the name Solanum tuberosum (potato). RNAcentral describes it as "long non-coding RNA (STUB_LNC003066)". The record is from RNAcentral. Lineage: Eukaryota; Viridiplantae; Streptophyta; Magnoliopsida; Solanales; Solanaceae.
UUUUUAUGUGUCUGCUCUUCUGUCAUAUUUAAUAUUUGCAACCAUCUCGUCUAUAGGUUUGAUUAAAUUAAAUUGUUAAAUAAGGUAACUAAACUUUAUAGUAUCUACUUAGGUACAUAUGUCUUCAAAUGAAAGUGGAAAAAUAUAAUUUACCUGCAGGUGGCGGAGCUUCCAACGGCACAUCAACGAAGAAACGGGAAAUUUCAUAACGGAAGUUGCACCUAGGCCCAAUUAUUCUUCCACCCGUCUUUCCCAGGCAAGGACAUUGAGGCAUGGUUCCAUAAGCGUCAGUUAAGCAAUUGAAGCAAUUCAGGGGAGAUAAAUCAGGAGUACACUGCACAAGUGCAUAUAUAGUCUGAUCAUCUGGACCUGUCACAUUACCACUAGCAUAUUUUCGAAAGGGACCACCAUUUACAGCACGGUCUCGUAAAUUUUCCAGUAAUUUACCCAGUUCCUGGUUAAAUUCCUCGGGUUUUGAGGCAUUCGCUGGAUUCCAAAGAAAGUAUCGUAUAGACAACGAUUGAGUAUUUAUAAUGGAUUGAUUCGAGUAAUGCAACAAGCAUCCAUCAUAGCCACCAAUAACUUCUUUUUGGGUAGGACAUAACUGUACAAGUUUUUGAGCAGCGUUAUGGACACAACUGCGACAAUCGUCUAGCUCCACAUCUCCUCUACAUAGCACAAUACCACUGACCUGGUCGGUGUUUUGGCCAAUGGAAUCAUAGUAGAAACCAUAGUUAUCUAUUUUUGAGGAAAGGGAAGUGAGGAGUGUGUUUAGAUUGUUCUUGUAGGUACUAUUCUCAGUAUAGUUACCAUUCCUACCACAUGAACCGUAUCGUAAAUCAGGCACCUGCGCUACAAUAUUGAGAACAUGUAUAUACAAAAACAGAAAGAGUAGCACCUCCUGAAUACCCAUGGUCAUGGUUGUCUAAGUUGCAUUUCCAUCUCUAGAAGCUUAGAUAUUUUGAGAUCAAAGGUAAAAUGAGUUGGCUUUUAUUUUUUCUUUUGGUUUACAAAAAGAUGCGUCACGUCAUUAAAGGUAGUCCUACCUAAUACUCAUCCGUCCAACAAUAAUUGUCCACUAUUAAUUUGGGACAGAAAUUAAGAAACAGUAAAUCAUGAUAUGAAUAAUUUUACCAAAUCACCUAUAUUAAAUAUAAGUCAUUUAAAUAUUAAAAAAUGAACAACAUUUAAAAGUAAAGAUAAAAUAGACACAAAAAAUAAAUUAUUCAUAAACUUUAUAAACUAAACCAGUACUGUUACACAUAUAUCACUUUCUGCAAAAGAUAAAACUUCUGAUGACUUGGUCUGUAUCUUUGUACUUGCCAAAUUUUUCUCGUUAGAAUUUAUGAAAUUCGUACUCUAAUUUAUGGAGAUAAUGGGAAUUGGGACAGGAGUGGAUACCAAGACGCCACCAAGGUUGCAAAUUUUGACCGCCACUUGCUCAUCAACUUUAUAUGAUUACUCCAGAAAAUGAAGUCCAACUAAUUUUCUACAAGUACCAUAUUUUCCUUUUUUUCCUAGUCUUUUAAAUUUUAAUCCACAAUGAUUUCUUUAGAAUUUUGGCUUUCCAGAUUCCUUGUACUGCAGUUAUCUUUAUAUCUUGACUGAUUCAUAGUGAUUAAUUCACAAAGCAAUUUGUACUUCUGUAGGUAUUUGGACAUAAUAUAAAUAGCUGAUAUUUUUUCAACGUGCUUGAAGUGAAUGACUUGUUUGGUAAAUUUCUAGAAUCAAUUGUUUUUUUUCAAAAAAAAAAAAAUAAUAAUUUAAAAGUGUUUUCAUAAAAAAGUAAUUUUGAUAAGAAGACAAAAAUCACGUUUGAACAAUAAUUAAUGUUUAACCAAACUUUUAUAUGUGUUUUAUGUAUACUAGUUCUAAAAACGUGUGUUGCACGUUUAUCCCAAAUUACUUCAUAUAAAUUUUAUAUUGCAAAUGACAUAUUUUAUCCCCUUCAAAUCUAUUGGUAUUUACAAAAAAAAAAAAAAAUCAUCCUUUUUUCUAAACUAAAGAUCAAAAGCUGAACCAAGCUCAUUGAUGUAAAGAUUCAAUGUUUUCUGAAUUUUGACCUCUGACUGAGUAAAUACAAUGAGGAACUUCCUAAACAUCUCAAGUAUCUCAUUAUCAGACCAUUAAAAACUCUUGAAAAUUCCAUUUUUUCUGUUCACGGUAGAUUUUUUUCCGAGGCUGAUGUAUGGAAUUCAUAAGGGAACAUAGGAGAGGUGAGCGGAACUCGCUCUCUACCCUAUGCAAAAUUUAUAUUAAAGAACGAAUGAAAGCAUUAAGACUGACCACUUAAAAACCAUUUGUAUCUUUGUAGAUGAAGUUGGAGUAUAUAUAAUUUUAUCGAUGGAAACUCUUCAGAUUCUUUAACUUAAAAUUAAAUAAGAGGAGUUGUUUUGAAAUGCUCGGACUUCAACUUACUUCAAGGUAUUUCAUUCCCUGUUGGAGCCGUUUCAUUACCAUUCCCCAUUGGAGCUGUUUUAUCAUCAUUUCCUUAAGAAAAUGCUUCAAGUUAGUAUAAAAUUCUCGGUUUUUAACAACUCAUGUGAAAAUAAGUUACUAUCUUCCCUUUUCAGGUUAUUUCAGAAACUAUAGAUACUUAUUAAAUAUCACAAAUACAAUAUUGUUAUACCUCUAAUUUAAUGUGCUCGUCUUAAACACAAAUCAAAAUUUUGUGUUAUGAUGGCAAUGAACUGUGUGAUCCUUCCAUCUAAAGUUUUAAGUUAUUAGACGACAAGAACAAUGUAAUGACCCUAAAGGUCAUUUUUUGGAAAUUUUCAUAAAAUGACCGUUUUACCCCUCCCGAUAGUUGCCCCGAGUCCUAAUUGUUGUAUUUCCGAAGUUGGUUUGGAGGAAAAUUGAUGAAAAGUUGAGUUUUUGGAAAGUUGAGUUUUUAAUAAUUGAAAUUUGGUUAAAAGUGCUAUUUCGAGUCAUUUGGAGUUUCGAGACUCGAAUCGGAUUUCCGUCGAUUCCAGCAGUUUUAGAAUGUCGAAACGGGUCUAUGAGAAUUUACGGAGUCGAAUUUGGAGUUAAAACGAAGAUUUGAGGUCCUAAGUUGCUAAAAUUGUGAAAUUUUGAUCAAGAGUUGACUUUGGUCAACAAACGAGGUUCCGGUGCUCGAAAUGGAAUUCCAAGGGCACCGUUGGAUUCAGGGGGUGAUUCUAAGUCUAGAAUGAGUCUUGGUUGAAUUUUUAGAGGCCCCGAGUGCAUUUCGAGUUUUUGAGCCUAAAGUUAGUUUCUUGACGCCUUAUCGGAUACCGGAUCAAGGAGACCUCGAAUUCAAAUUUCGACGAUUUCAUUGACUCCGAAAUGUCAUUUUCAAACUGGUAGCAUAUUUGGUUUGUGUUCGGGAAGUGUCAAAUGAGUUUUGGGUGAGCUUUUAAGCUUCUUGGAUGCUUUGACACUAUUUCAGCAAAUUGUGGCAACUAAAGGGUUCAUUAUUAGUUUUAAAGGUCGAAAUCUUUUCCCAAAGGUUCUGAAAUUUUGAGCAUGAAUUACAGGACUUAUCUGCAAAUUUUGGUGCAUUAUCGCUAAUCCGAGAUUGAACUUUUAUCGCAAAUAAGAAAUAAUUGUUUACCGAGUAGAAAUGAUAUUUGACUGGGCAAACGAGCAUGAAAUUGAGCUCCGAUUGAACGAGCAGGUCCGUAUCAUUAUUUAAGACAUUUACAAAAAAGAAUCGGGUCAUUUCACUAUCGUAUGAGGAAAUUACGGCCUUUUUAGUGAAGGAUUUAACUGCUGUUUUUCUGGUGCAUAACAGUCAUGCACUGUUAUAAAAAUCUCAGACUGUGUUCAUUUGGUAUUUUGAGCAUAUCGGGAGUUCUAGAGAUCGGAAUGGAGUGAUUCUUACGGGUUUCUUCUUGAAUUAAUAUGAGGGUUAGUAUUCAAUCUUAAAUUCGACAUUUUCUCAUAAUUUCUUUAUCUGGUUUUAUUUUCCCUAUCCGUAAACCUCUUGGAAAAAAUUGGGGUUUUAUCGAUUUGGACUCCCUUUUUGAUGAAAAAGGUAUAUUUACGAUCCUUAUGUUAUGGGUAAACUGAUUUUAACAUAAAAUUAUUGAUUCAUCGAUUAUUUUCAUCAUAUUAACCGCGUACAAUUUGGACUUUCCCGGUAAAGUUAAAGUUUGAUAAAUUGAGAAUUUCAAGGUCGAUCUUAACUCCGUUUUUGAUGAAAUUUCAUAUUUGAACUUAUCUAAGCAUGGGUAAGAUGUUUUUCAAGAAAUAUUUCAUUUUCGAGUCGGGGUUUCGGAUCCAAAUAUUUUAGGCUUCUUCAAGAACGUGGAUUUUCCUUCAAAUUGAGUUUGUGAACUCAUUUCAACUCCUUUUUCGAAACGGUUUUCACUAUUGGAUUCUAAAUUUCUUGGGGAACAUUUUUCACUAAAAAUUUCCAGAUUUCGAGAAUAUUUUCCGGAACGAGAUUUUUGACCAUUUUACCCUUGUUCUCCAAAUUUCACGAUAUUGGUGUUGUUAGAUUCGUAUUUAUUGUGGGAUUCCAUUUAUGAAUAGAUUGUGGUGAUUUGGAGCGUGCUCGGAAGGGUAAAACUCAAAUUUGAGUUACUAGUUGAAGUGUUUUGAGGCAAGUGACUUCUAAACUUUGUUAAACUCUUAGACUACGCAUGACUACUUUCCUAAUUGUGUUGGGGAGUAAGGGGGAUUGAGGAUGGGUUUUAUUUGUUGAUUGGAAUUGUUGUAAAUGAAAGAUGGGGAAAUAAAACGAGCUAAAUGUGUUAUAUGUGACUUGAAUUUGUUGAAUAAGUCAUGUGAUAACUCAUAUUGAGGGGAUAGAAGAGCAUGAGUAGGCUAUGAUUGAUACAGACAUUGAUGUUGAAACAGAUGAUGUGUAAUACUAUGAUGUGGUCGUGAUAUGGUUGUGAUUGAAACAGAUGAUGUGUAAUACUAUGAUGUGGUCGUGAUAUGGUUGUGAUUGAAACAGAUGAUGUGUAAUACUAUGAUGUGGUCGUGAUAUGGUUGUGAUUGAAACAGAUGAUGUGUAAUACUAUGAUGUGGUCGUGAUAUGGUUGUGAUUGAAACAGAUGAUGUGUAAUACUAUGAUGUGGUCGUGAUAUGGUUGUGAUUGAAACAGAUGAUGUGUAAUACUAUGAUGUGGUCGUGAUAUGGUUGUGAUUGAAACAGAUGAUGUGUAAUACUAUGAUGUGGUCGUGAUAUGGUUGUGAUUGAAACAGAUGAUGUGUAAUACUAUGAUGUGGUCGUGAUAUGGUUGUGAUUGAAACAGAUGAUGUGUAAUACUAUGAUGUGGUCGUGAUAUGGUUGUGAUUGAAACAGAUGAUGUGUAAUACUAUGAUGUGGUCGUGAUAUGGUUGUGAUUGAGACAGAUGAUGUGUAAUACUAUGAUGUGAUCGUGAUAUGAUUGUGAUUGAUGACAUGUGCAUAUUCAUUAUUCAUCCCAUGUGUGAACUAUCUGUUGCAUGAGUUCUGAGACACUGAUAUGAGGAUGGAUGGAUAUGAGACACAGUUGAAACUAGCUCCGACUAGAGAUAUAUGAGAUGGACUAGCUCCGGCUAGCGAUUUGGAUGCCGAUGGGAUCUGGUUCCGGCGGUGAUACAUGGUCCAUGUGUGGCCCCCAUGGGUUCUGAUUUGAGUAUUCAGCGCGGACUGAUUACGUCAACAGAUGUGUAUCGUAGGACAGACAUGCAUCACGACUACAUGACAUCAUUAUUGCAUUUGCAUCGCAUUUCACUUCAUCUUUGUCUGUGGUGUGUGGAUUUUACCUAUUUGCCCCUCUUCAUGUGAUAUAUGAUCUAUUUGCUCUUAUAUGAGGAUAUGAGGUUGAUUUUGAGACACUGUUGGAUAUAUAUGUUGAUUAUGAAUUGUGUAGUAUUUUUUUUAUAACCAAGUCUUCCGCUUAUUUAUUAUCUCUUAUUCUCGUAUUUCUAUUUCUCUAUCGUUGUGGUUGAGUUAGGCUGACGUGUCCGGUGGGAAAUGGACACGUGCCAUCACAUCCGGAUUUGGGAUGUGACAAACAAUUUCUUCAAUUCCACACAUGUCGGGAAAAAACUUAAAUUAUUGUACUUAGAGAUGACAUAUUUUAUUCACCUUAUUAUGUUUCAAUACAUCGAUUCAUUAUUCAUGUGUAUGUCUAAUUCUUUUUAUGUGUCUGCUCUUCUGUCAUAUUUAAUAUUUGCAACCAUCUCGUCUAUAGGUUUGAUUAAAUUAAAUUGUUAAAUAAGGUAACUAAACUUUAUAGUAUCUACUUAGGUACAUAUGUCUUCAAAUGAAAGUGGAAAAAUAUAAUUUACCUGCAGGUGGCGGAGCUUCCAACGGCACAUCAACGAAGAAACGGGACUUAGGUACACAUGUCUUCAAAUGAAAGUGGAAAAAUAUAAUUUACCUGCAGGUGGCGGAGCUUCCAACGGCACAUCAACGAAGAAACGGGAACUUUCAUAACGGAAGUUGCACCUAGGCCUCUUUCCCAGGCAAGGACAUUGAGGCAUGGUUCCAUAAGCGUCAGUUAAGCAAUUCUGAGGAGAUAAAUCAGGAGUACACUGCACAAGUGGAUAUAUAGUCUGAUAAUCUGGACCUGUCACAUUACCACUAGCAUAUUUUCGAAAGGAACCACGAUUUACAGCACGGUCUCGUAAAUUUUCCAGUAAUUUACCCAGUUCCUGGUUAAAUUCCUCGGGUUUUGAGGCAUUCACAGUAUUCCGAUGAAAAUAUUGAACAGACAACGAUUGAGUAUUUAUAAUGGAUAGAUUCGAGUAAUGCAACAAACAUUCAUCAUAGCCACCAAUAACUUCUUUUUGGGUAGGACAUAACUGUACAAGUUUUUGAGCAGCGUUAUGGAUACAACUGCGACAUUCUUUUAGCUCCACAUCUCCUCUACAUAGCACAAUACCACUGACCUCG